CCCCCUCUGGGAAGGGGAAGUGAGAAGGCCGGAGAACUGACAUCACUUCCCCUCAGGGCAGGCGGGCCCUGGGGGAACGGGCCAGGGGGGUGGCUGGACACAGGAGCAGUCCCCAGUCCAGAUCUUGGCUGUCACUGCGACCCUGGACAAGUUCAUCUCUGAGCCUCCACUCCCUCGUCUGUAAAGCGGGGCACACGCCACCACCUUCCCCACGGGCCGCCUCGAGGAUCGGGGAUGACGCCCAAAAAGAGGUGGGCAGCAAUCACAAAGAGAGAAGAUGGGAGCUGUCACACUGUCCUGUUACCGUCCCUCCCCCCUCCAGGAUUCCAACUCACAACAGAUUGGAAGCAGCAAAGCAGGACAGAGGGCUGCCCUGAGGCAGACGGGGCCAAAGGCAGAAGGCACGGCCAGAGCGACUGGGACAGUGGACGCACAGUGCAGUGGGAACAGGGGCCCUUCAGUGAAGGGACUCGAGUGCUGGGGACCCAUGUUGUCACAGCCCAGGAUGGCCACACAGGAGAAAGGAUAAAUGACCCCCGGACAUUCACAGGACGUGUCGGAUCCCUCUUGGGAAGACCUGUUCUCCUUGAGCUUCUUGGAUUUCUUCUUCUUGGGAAGGCUCACGGGCUCCUCAGGGAAAAAAUCAUCGAAGGCUUCGAGGCCACCAUCUUCUUCUUCUGGAGGAAGCAGAAGGGGGAGGGGGUUAC
Non-coding RNA from Equus caballus (horse), 707 nucleotides. Lineage: Eukaryota; Metazoa; Chordata; Mammalia; Perissodactyla; Equidae. The record is from RefSeq and is a predicted model, not a curated record.